Long non-coding RNA from Vicia villosa (hairy vetch), 456 nucleotides. RefSeq lists it as uncharacterized. Lineage: Eukaryota; Viridiplantae; Streptophyta; Magnoliopsida; Fabales; Fabaceae. The transcript is spliced from 3 exons. The record is from RefSeq and is a predicted model, not a curated record.
CCACACCCGGCCUGCUGUGAGUUUAGAAAUUUCAUUACACGGUGGUUACUGUUUAGGGUUGAGAUGAGAUUCCAAAAAUUGUUCUAAACUUCAUCAACGGAGCUGCUAGCGAAUCGUUGCCGACUUGCCGUAAUCUGUUCUAAACGUUUGUUUCUUAGAUAUGGCCAUUGAUAAUGAUAAAGAAGUCAAUGUUUCUGAUGCUUCCUUUUCCAUUUCCAUGGCCGAAAAUCAGAAAUCAUUUUUGAAGAACGAUUCGAAGGUCUUUCAAAUGGCGUUAAAUGCUUCAACAAACCAGAACCAGAUGGUUGAACUAAAUUUUCAAUGGUUGAAACUUGAUGCCUACAGUUGUGGAAAUGUAAUUUAUUUAUUACUUUGCUUACUUUAAUGAAUACUGUUGAAACCAAAAUUUAUGUGGUUUUGAAGAUUUUAGCACUACAUUGUGUUAUGGCUUUGUAA